This is a long non-coding RNA of Gallus gallus (chicken), 717 nucleotides long. The record is from Ensembl. Lineage: Eukaryota; Metazoa; Chordata; Aves; Galliformes; Phasianidae.
GUUACAAACAAUAACUCAUUAAAACAGUGCUUGCUAUGCUUCUUACCUUCCUUUUAACUGUCAAAAUUGUAAUCUGUAAGAAACUUUCCUCAGCUAUUAAAAUCCUCUAAUUUCAGCAGAGAAUGCAACAACAGAAUGUGGCAAAUCCUCCUCUUCUGUUGUAGAGAUUUUCAGUGAAAAUUCCCAGCCUUCUCUGACUUACAGUGUCUUGGGUAUUCUCACUGGGAGGAGUAAGCACUUUCAGGUGGGGCUGAGACUGCAGGUACUGUUCACAAAGAACCUGAAGAUAAGUAGCAAUGUUUGUCUGUUGCUGAGAGGUGUUGUGAGGUUUUGUGGACAUUCUGUGCUGAGAAAAUGCAAACACCAUAAAAUAUAGGAAGCCAGACUGUCAAACAAGGGACAAUCAAACUAAACAACCUGUUCUCCGUUCAAGCAUUCCGUUGUGCUAACAGCUACUGGCAAUUUCCCUGUUUGGUGUGAUGAGAGAAGAAGCCGUUUGCUGGCCAGGGGGUUACAAGUGUGGUCUGAUGAACAGUACAGAAAAAAAAAUGCUGGCCACAGGGCUUGGGGGCACAGCUGCACUGGUAGAACCACUGCCAACAUCUUCCUGGCAUGUCCUGCUGUGCUAUCUUCUGCCCCCCAACUGCUCACCACCAGCUCACUUUCCUUCCAGGAGAGCAACGGCUGAAGGCCUACAGCUGUCCAUGGGGAGACAGG